This 465-nucleotide ribosomal RNA is filed under the name uncultured bacterium. RNAcentral's name for it is "partial 16S ribosomal RNA". It matches the Rfam family "Bacterial small subunit ribosomal RNA", at positions 339 to 795 of the family's 1533-position model. The record is from RNAcentral.
CUACGGGGCGCAGCAGUGGGGAAUAUUGGACAAUGGGGGAAACCCUGAUCCAGCAAUGCCGCGUGUGUGAAGAAGGCCUGCGGGUUGUAAAGCACUUUCGGUUGGGAGGACUGCUUCUAGCACUAAUAUUGUUGGAAGUUGACGUUACCUUCAGAAGAAGCACCGGCUAACUCCGGUGCCAGCAGCCGCGGUAAUCGGGGGGUGCAAGCGUUAAUCGGAAUUACUGGGCGUAAAGCGCGCGUAGGCGGCUAGAUCAGUCGGGUGUGAAAGCCCCGGGCUUAACCUGGGAACUGCAUCCGAUACUGUCUAGCUUGAGUACAGGAGAGGAGAGUGGAAUUCCACAUGUAGCGGUGAAAUGCGUAGAUAUGUGGAGGAACACCAAUGGCGAAGGCAGCUCUCUGGCCUGAUACUGACGCUGAGGUGCGAAAGCGUGGGGAGCAAACAGGAUUAGAUACCCCGGUAGUC